This 441-nucleotide ribosomal RNA is filed under the name uncultured bacterium. RNAcentral's name for it is "partial 16S ribosomal RNA". It matches the Rfam family "Bacterial small subunit ribosomal RNA", at positions 338 to 795 of the family's 1533-position model. The record is from RNAcentral.
CCUACGAGCGGCAGCAGUGGGGAAUAUUGCACAAUGGGGGAAACCCUGAUGCAGCGACGCCGCGUGAGUGAAGAAGUAUUUCGGUAUGUAAAGCUCUAUCAGCAGGGAAGAAGAAAGACGGUACCUGACUAAGAAGCCCCGGCUAACUACGUGCCAGCAGCCGCGGUAAUACGUAGGGGGCAAGCGUUAUCCGGAUUUACUGGGUGUAACGGGAGCGUAGACGGCUGUGCAAGUCUGAAGUGAAAGCCCAGGGCUCAACCCUGGGACUGCUUUGGAAACUGUGGAGCUAGAGUGCUGGAGAGGUAAGUGGAAUUCCUAGUGUAGCGGUGAAAUGCGUAGAUAUUAGGAGGAACACCAGUGGCGAAGGCGGCUUACUGGACAGUAACUGACGUUGAGGCUCGAAAGCGUGGGGAGCAAACAGGAUUAGAUACCCGAGUAGUC